UACGUAGGGGGCAAGCGUUGUCCGGAAUCAUUGGGCGUAAAGAGCGUGUAGGCGGUCCGGUAAGUCGGCUGUGAAAGUCCAGGGCUCAACCCUGGGAUGCCGGUCGAUACUGCCGGACUAGAGUUCGGAAGAGGCGAGUGGAAUUCCCGGUGUAGCGGUGAAAUGCGCAGAUAUCGGGAGGAACACCUAUGGCGAAGGCAGCUCGCUGGGACGUUACUGACGCUGAGACGCGAAAGCUAGGGUAGCAAACGGG
Molecule: ribosomal RNA, 253 nt
Filed under: uncultured bacterium
Lineage: Bacteria
Description: partial 16S ribosomal RNA
Rfam family: Bacterial small subunit ribosomal RNA
Source: RNAcentral